This is a long non-coding RNA of Callithrix jacchus (white-tufted-ear marmoset), 885 nucleotides long. RefSeq lists it as uncharacterized. The record is from RefSeq and is a predicted model, not a curated record. Lineage: Eukaryota; Metazoa; Chordata; Mammalia; Primates; Cebidae.
CAGCCACAGAGGAUAUCUGAGAGGCACAGUGAGACUCUGGGAGAGUUUGAGAGCCAGAGCUCUCCCCAGGAGGCAGCAGGCCUGAGGCCAGCCACUCAGUGUGGGAAGGGGCAAGGGAAACUGGCUAUUUCCCCAUUGCUGACAGGCUGUGUAGGGAGGAGGAUAUUCCUGUACUGAGCCCAAAGUCACCAAGAUGCUUAAUGCCAAAGUGUUUCAGGAAAAGCCCUGAAGGCAUAAUGGGAUAAUCACAAAACAGCAGAACAUUUUGAACACUGGCCAAGAAGAGGCAAAAGCGGCAGCCAGCUGACUACAGCUGGGAAUGGGCAGCUAUUUUUAACAGCACAGAAUGCAGUAGAGAUCAAGCAGAACUUUCCAGCUCAGCUUCAGGACAUCUGUCAGCUUCCAGUCUCACCCCUAGGAACCCUGGGACUACCAUGCUGUGAAGAAGCUUGGGAAAAAAAGACCAGACCAAGGGUUUAAGCAUAAUCUUCACAGUGGGAAGGUACUGAAGACAAAGCAAAGGAAGUCUAACGUGACUGAUAAUCUAGUACCUACUUUGCAAGGACCUCGUGAAGAUCAAAUGACAGGAUGUGGUCACUAUAAGCAAUUGGCAAAUAUGUGCUUGAUAAAUGGUAGCUAUGUUAUCUAUUUGUGGCUUUACCGUAGGACUUAACACAGCUCCAUAUAUCUGUUUUAAAUUGAAUUGUACACACAAUCAUAUUUUUUUCUUUAGCCUACAAUUGCUUGAAAACAGUAACUGCAUUUUAUUUUUGUGUGUAUACCAGUCUAUAACAGGCAGUUCCCAUUAGGCACUAUACAAAUAUUUGUUAAACAAAUGAGUCAAUGAAUGGAAUAAGACAUACUUGCUGAAUUGCAUAAGAAGAG